Long non-coding RNA from Pipra filicauda (Wire-tailed manakin), 251 nucleotides. RefSeq lists it as uncharacterized. The record is from RefSeq and is a predicted model, not a curated record. Lineage: Eukaryota; Metazoa; Chordata; Aves; Passeriformes; Pipridae. The transcript has 3 exons.
ACAGGCAAUGAGGUACCUGUUCUCAAAUCGCGAUAGCCAAAACAAGAGUGGUGAAGGACUACCAUCAGUAACAUGGGGUCCAAGGAUCACUACUGAAAGAUGCAUGCAGAGUACAAAAUGCAUUUCUUGAAAGAAAGAAAAGAAGAAAAACAACAUUACAAAAGCAAACUGCUUCCAUCACUUACCCAUCUGUCUCCCCUAAAGAGUUCCAGAAGUGGAAAUGACAACAAAUGAGCUCACACUGCAAGGAC